GUUGGGAUAGCUCAGUUGGUAGAGCAGAGGACUGAAAAUCCUCGUG
This 46-nucleotide transfer RNA is filed under the name Papaver somniferum (opium poppy). Its description in RNAcentral is "partial tRNA-Phe". It matches the Rfam family "tRNA", at positions 1 to 45 of the family's 71-position model. Rfam says of the family: Transfer RNA (tRNA) molecules are approximately 80 nucleotides in length. Their secondary structure includes four short double-helical elements and three loops (D, anti-codon, and T loops). Lineage: Eukaryota; Viridiplantae; Streptophyta; Magnoliopsida; Ranunculales; Papaveraceae. The record is from RNAcentral. RNAcentral also lists the same sequence under 7 other names.